This 815-nucleotide ribosomal RNA is filed under the name uncultured bacterium. RNAcentral describes it as "bacterial SSU rRNA". It matches the Rfam family "Bacterial small subunit ribosomal RNA", at positions 56 to 864 of the family's 1533-position model. The record is from RNAcentral.
UGCAGUCGAGGGGCAUCAUGGCGGUCGCUUGCGACCGCUGAUGGCGACCGGCGCACGGGUGCGUAACGCGUAUCGAACCUGCCGCAUACCCGGGGAUAGCCUUGCGAAAGCAAGAUUAAUACCCGAUGUUCUCACUGUUCCGUAUGUUACGGUGAGCAAAGAAAUUCGGUAUGCGAUGGCGAUGCGUCCCAUUAGCUAGUUGGCGGGGUAACGGCCCACCAAGGCUCCGAUGGGUAGGGGUUCUGAGAGGAAGGUCCCCCACACUGGAACUGAGACACGGUCCACACUUAUACGGGAGGCAGCAGUGAGGAAUAUUGGUCAAUGGACGCAAGUCUGAACCAGCCAAGUAGCGUGCAGGAUGACGGCCCUCCGGGUUGUAAACUGCUUUUGUUGGGAAUAAAAGGGGGCUCGUGAGCCCCGUAUUGUAUGUACCAUCAGAAAAAGGACCGGCUAAUUCCGUGCCAGCAGCCGCGGUAAUACGGAAGGUCCGGGCGUUAUCCGGAUUUAUUGGGUUUAAAGGGAGCGUAGGCCGGCUUUUAAGUCAGCUGUGAAAGUCCGCGGCUCAACCGUGGAAUUGCAGUUGAAACUGGAGGCCUUGAGUGCACACAGGGAUGCCGGAAUUCAUGGUGUAGCGGUGAAAUGCUUAGAUAUCAUGAAGAACUCCGAUCGCGAAGGCAAGUGUCCGGGGUGCAACUGACGCUGAGGCUCGAAAGUGCGGGUAUCAAACAGGAUUAGAUACCCUGGUAGUCCGCACCGUAAACGAUGAAUACUCGUGUCCCGCGAUAUAUUGUGGGACACUUAGCGAAAGCGUUAAG